UCCCAAUAAAAGUGGCCACAUUUCUUUUUUGGGUGUCCCAUUAAAAGUGGCUACUUUCUAAAAAUGGCAAAAGUUUACUUUAAUUAAGUCAACAAUUACUCACUAAUUUGGUCAACAAUUGUAGGCCACUUUCUAAAAAUGCCAAAAUUACUCAUUAAUUUGGUCAACAAUUGUAGGCCACUUUCUAAAAAUUACUCACUAAUUUUGGUGGGUCACACUCAAUUAAACCAUAACAAUCCCCUUCUUAAUCUCCGUGCCCAAAAAAAAGUGGCCACUUUUAUUGGGACGGAGGGAGUAUUAAAAGUGGUCACUUUCCCAAAAUGGAAAUAUUGUUAGUUGAUUAAGCUCAAUUAAUUCAUUUAAUUAAAAGUGCUAAUUAAAACUUAUUUGUAACUAUCUUCCUCUUGCCUCUUUCUAAAAUUUGUAAGCCCAAUUUGCAUCGACGGAAAAUCUACUCCCUCUUGCCUCACGCCGCUGCUACUGUUCCACCACGGCGGCGCUCGUCCCUCAGGCGGCGGCGAAGGCGCUUGUCGCUAUUGGAGUGGGCGGUGUCUGUGUGUGUUCUGUUUGGAGCAAGAGAGAGAAAUAGAGGAGCGUCUAGUUUGGUGUCGCAGGCUAGAGCUCUGGCUGGCGGCAGCCCUGGAUUGGGGGCCUAGCGAGAGCUGAUGGAGACGACGCCGCAUGGAGCAGCGACGUCAACGCCUAGAUCUGAGGGUGGUCAGCGGUGGUGGUGGAUCGCCUAGAUCUGAGGGUGGCCUUAAAUUGAGGGCAGUGAUCUGCACCAUCUCUGAUGCAUGUGUAUUUGGGCAUCCCUAAUUUCUGUUUUGUUUUUUUUUUUAAUUGAGAAACAAUCGAGAGAUCGGUGGUUUGAGGAAUUGAUAAGACUCAAUGGUAGAUAAAUUCGCUGAUUUUGGUUUCUAGGAAUUUCGAUUUCUAGAAAUUUUGGAUCAAAUUUUUGUUUUGGAAUCCAUAGAGAUUUUUUGGGGGAAUAAUGUACUGUAUUUUCCGGUGGGAUUUUGUU
Long non-coding RNA from Salvia miltiorrhiza (redroot sage), 1021 nucleotides. RefSeq lists it as uncharacterized. The transcript has 2 exons. Lineage: Eukaryota; Viridiplantae; Streptophyta; Magnoliopsida; Lamiales; Lamiaceae. The record is from RefSeq and is a predicted model, not a curated record.